GACGAAGAAGUUGCAGAUGAGGUCCUGGUUGGAAAGUCUGUUAAAGAGAAUUUUCCUGAAGAUCACAACCCCAACGACUUCCAAACGCCUCAUCAAGAUGUAGAGGAGAUCAGUUCGGCUGAUGAAUCAGAGGACGAUCAAGAUACAGAGCAGGUUGCUGGUGGAAAUUCUUUUGGUGUGUCUGAGGACGUGGGAUUUGUUGGUGAGGAGAGAAGGGAAGCUAUAGAGAAUAAGUCUGUUGGUGUGUCUGAGCACGUUGAUGUUGUUGAGUGCGAGGACAGAAGAGAAGAAGUAAUUGAAAAGUCUGUUGAUGUCUCCGGGGACGAUGUUGAGACUGAGGUUUUAGAGGAUAAGU
Arabidopsis lyrata subsp. lyrata is the source of this 355-nucleotide long non-coding RNA. RefSeq lists it as uncharacterized. The record is from RefSeq and is a predicted model, not a curated record. Lineage: Eukaryota; Viridiplantae; Streptophyta; Magnoliopsida; Brassicales; Brassicaceae. The transcript has 4 exons.